GACGAACGCUGGCGGUGUGCUUAACACAUGCAAGUGGUGCGACGAACCAGAGCUUGCUCUGGGGCAAAGCCGCGAACGGGUGAGUAACACGUGGGUAAUCUACCCCGAUGACCGGGACAACCCGAGGAAACUCGGGCUAAUACCGGAUGUGGUACGGAGACAUAAGUCUCUUUACUAAAGGUAGCUUCGGCUUCCGCAUUGGGAGGGGCCCGCGGCCCAUUAGCUAGUUGGUGGGGUCAAGGCCUACCAAGGCAACGAUGGGUAGCUGGUCUGAGAGGACGAUCAGCCACACUGGGACUGAGACACGGCCCAGACUCCUACGGGAGGCAGCAGUGGGGAAUCUUGCGCAAUGCGCGAAAGCGUGACGCAGCAACACCGCAUGAGGGAAGACGGGCCCUUAAGGGGUUGUAAACCUCUUUCAGAUGGGACGAAGGUGAUGCGGUGAUAGCCGAUGUCAUUGACGGUACCGUCGAGAAGAAGCUCCGGCUAAC
This 491-nucleotide ribosomal RNA is filed under the name uncultured bacterium. Its description in RNAcentral is "bacterial SSU rRNA". It matches the Rfam family "Bacterial small subunit ribosomal RNA", at positions 28 to 501 of the family's 1533-position model. The record is from RNAcentral.